Molecule: ribosomal RNA, 484 nt
Filed under: uncultured bacterium
Lineage: Bacteria
Description: partial 16S ribosomal RNA
Rfam family: Bacterial small subunit ribosomal RNA
Source: RNAcentral
AUUGAACGCUGGCGGCAGGCCUAACACAUGCAAGUCGAGCGGAUGAAGGGAGCUUGCUCCUGGAUUCAGCGGCGGACGGGUGAGUAAUGCCUAUGAAUCUGCCUGGUAGUGGGGGAUAACGUCCGGAAACGGGCGCUAAUACCGCAUACGUCCUGAGGGAGAAAGUGGGGGAUCUUCGGACCUCACGCUAUCAGAUGAGUCUAGGUCGGAUUAGCUAGUUGGUGGGGUAAAGGCCUACCAAGGCGACGAUCCGUAACUGGUCUGAGAGGAUGAUCAGUCACACUGGAACUGAGACACGGUCCAGACGCCUACGGGAGGCAGCAGUGGGGAAUAUUGGACAAUGGGCGAAAGCCUGAUCCAGCCAUGCCGCGUGUGUGAAGAAGGUCUUCGGAUUGUAAAGAACUUUAAGUUGGGAGGAAGGGCAGUAAGUUAAUAACUUGCUGUUUUGACGUUACCAACAGAAUAAGCACCGGCUAACUUCGUG